GUCCUUUAGAUAAAUAUAAUUUAAGGUCUAACCUGCCCAUUGACUUAGUUAAAAGGCCGCAGUAAUUUGACUGUGCAAAGGUAGCAUAAUCAUUAGUUUUUUAAUUAAAAGCUUGUAUGAAUGGUUGGACGAGAUAAAAUCUGUCUCUAAAUAAUUAAUAGAAUUUAAUUUUUAAGUUAAAAAGCUUAAAUUUAUUUAAAAGACGAGAAGACCCUAUAGAUCUUUAUAUAAUUAUUUUUAGUAUUAAUUAAGAAAAUUUUAUUUAUUAAUAAUAUUUAUAUUUUAUUGGGGUAAUAAGAAGAUUAAAAAAAUUCUUUUUAAUUAAACAAUAAUUAUUGAUUAUAUGAUCCAUUUUUAGUGAUUAUAAGAUUAAGUUACCUUAGGGAUAACAGCGUAAUUUUUUUAAAGAGUUCUUAUCAAUAAAAAAGUUUGCGA
Molecule: ribosomal RNA, 435 nt
Filed under: Hydroporus figuratus
Lineage: Eukaryota; Metazoa; Arthropoda; Insecta; Coleoptera; Dytiscidae
Description: Suphrodytes figuratus partial 16S ribosomal RNA
Source: RNAcentral